RNAcentral lists this long non-coding RNA (233 nucleotides) under Brassica napus (rape). RNAcentral's name for it is "long non-coding RNA (BNAP_LNC022744)". Lineage: Eukaryota; Viridiplantae; Streptophyta; Magnoliopsida; Brassicales; Brassicaceae. The record is from RNAcentral.
UAGUAUACUUGGGACAUGUUCAAGUUGCUAGAGUUGUUGAACCUUGUUUAUGUCUCAAGAUACUUAAGUUGUGAUUGUUGAUUCUGUUUUUAAAUUAUUUCUAAGUUUACCAGCAUGGUUAUGACUAGUUAUUGUUUUUGGUCAAUUGUUUGAGUUGUGUAAGGUCUAGGCGAGUUGUCUAGAACCUGUUUUGUGUCUUGUUGCAUUGCUAGAAGUCUAGGAGAGUUUCCUGG